UCGAAGCUCACAUCACAGUUGAAUUUUUUCCCAUAAUCGGAAAGUUAGGUUAUUAUUGAAUUUCCAGAUAUGAAAGACAGUUCUUGGACGUGAAUUUGUAUCAAAAUCGGAUGUAAUAACUGAUAGUUUAUUUUGUCACUAAUAAUACUCAUUUUUCAGGCACAUAUCAAUUCAUCAUAUCAAGAAAUGUAUGAAAUUCAUAAAUGUCAAAUAUCAUCUAUCGGAAAGUCUCAUUUUAAAUAAAAAAAGCUACUUCAGGGAUUAAAUUACAUGCAAACUCACAGAAUGAGAAACAUCCUUAGUCUUGGUGUAUGAACAUAAGCAUUUCUGGAUAACAAACGGUUCUUGGGGGCAUAUAUAAAUUUAUCAGAUCAAGAAAUGUAUAAUAUCAUCUCUCGGACAGUGUUAUUUGGUAAAAAAAAAAUGUUCUUCAGAGUAAGUUUCUAAAGCAAUUCGUUCAGGAGAGUUUCUAUGUAAAGCAAAGGAUCUAUUUCGAUUCUUUUCAACUGAACACAACAGAUUUCUGACAACUUUCA
Long non-coding RNA from Coccinella septempunctata (seven-spotted ladybird), 536 nucleotides. RefSeq lists it as uncharacterized. The transcript is spliced from 3 exons. The record is from RefSeq and is a predicted model, not a curated record. Lineage: Eukaryota; Metazoa; Arthropoda; Insecta; Coleoptera; Coccinellidae.